This 253-nucleotide ribosomal RNA is filed under the name uncultured bacterium. RNAcentral describes it as "partial 16S ribosomal RNA". It matches the Rfam family "Bacterial small subunit ribosomal RNA", at positions 524 to 776 of the family's 1533-position model. The record is from RNAcentral.
UACGAAGGGGGCUAGCGUUGUUCGGAAUUACUGGGCGUAAAGCGGGUGUAGGCGGAUCUUUAAGUCGGAGGUGAAAGCCCAGGGCUCAACCCUGGAAUUGCCUUCGAUACUGGGGAUCUGGAGUGUGGGAGAGGUGAGUGGAAUUCCGGGUGGAGAGGUGAAAUUCGUAGAUAUUCGGAGGAACACCAGAGGCGAAGGCGGCUCGCUGGACCACUACUGACGCUGAGACCCGAAAGCGUGGGGAGCAAACAGG